This is a non-coding RNA of Prunus mume (Japanese apricot), 669 nucleotides long. NCBI's taxonomy places the organism in Eukaryota, Viridiplantae, Streptophyta, Magnoliopsida, Rosales, Rosaceae. The record is from RefSeq and is a predicted model, not a curated record.
CCUACAUCGGUUAAUUGCUGGGUGGAUAAGGCAUCCUCAUAGUAGAAUUCCUCGUAGUGUUGUGGGCAAUUCCCAAAAAAAGGGGGAAAAAAAAAAGCCGAGAGACAGAGAACCAGAAAACAGAAAGGAAGAAGAAAAAGGGAAUCGAGUGAGACGAAAAUGGCGAGGAAGUCAGGGAUUUUGAUACGACAUUUGUUUGGCAAUUGGAGCAACCCCUGUGCAGGUCUUCUUCGUCAUCGUCGUAAGCUUCUUCCUGUUUCCAUCCAAACCCUAACCCUAUCUUCAAUCCAUAGUCUAACACCACGUUUACCUUCCCCUUGCAAAUUACCUUUGUCCUCCCCAAACCUUCAUUUUAUGCGACGCUCCGAUGAAGGUCUUGUAUUUUCAAGGCCCGCAAAGAUGGUAAUCAUUUCGAACAAGGAUGACUAUGACAGGGCAAUUAAACAAGUUACAGACGCAGUGAAGGGAUGGAAAUGGCAAAUCCAAAAUCCAACUCGGCGGCCAUACCUAAACUUGCUUGUGUGUGUGUGUGUGUGUGUGUGUGUGUGUGUGUGUGUGUUUUUUGAGAAAUUAAAGUUUGUAGAUCUAAUGGUUGAAUAGAUAACUUCGGUAAGAACUAUGAUGCCGCAGAUCCUCCCCUAUAUAUAUUGUAUUACUUUUUCACAUGUG